This 429-nucleotide long non-coding RNA is filed under the name Mytilus galloprovincialis (Mediterranean mussel). The record is from RNAcentral. Lineage: Eukaryota; Metazoa; Mollusca; Bivalvia; Mytilida; Mytilidae.
CAAAUUUUCGACUGUAGGUAAACUAAUAAGAAAAGAAAAAGAUAUAAAUAGUAAAUUCAAAUCGUAUGAAUAAUAUUGGCGAACAAAAAAAGUAUCACAUUAUGUCGCCGGACAAUUGUAAGAUGCUAUAAAAUAGACUAAAAAUGUAUCGAAAAUAUAGCACAAAAGAAAUCAUGAAAUAACUCGGUGCAAUCCCAAUUUAAGAUGCAAACACAUCAAAAGAAAAACAAAAUCACAUCAUAUCUCCACAUGACACAAAACAAAAACCAACUGCAAUCAACAAAUAAGACGCAAAGAAUAAAAAAAAAUCCAUUCGCGGGCAACUACCGACUUAUAUUAUACUGUAUGAUCGAACACAAACAUAGAUCCCGCUAACAUGUUUAACCCCGCCACAUUAUUUAUGUAUGUGCCUGUCCCAAGUCAGGAGCC